Molecule: long non-coding RNA, 2238 nt
Organism: Bombus terrestris (buff-tailed bumblebee)
Lineage: Eukaryota; Metazoa; Arthropoda; Insecta; Hymenoptera; Apidae
Exons: 2
Source: RefSeq, a predicted model, not a curated record
GGGAUCUGACGAACUAUACCAAAUUAAGGAUCUUUCAUCAGUGUUUUCGGAAAUCGGCCGAAAUCCUAGGCCUAUGAACAAUUAAAAAUAUCCUACUGUUAGUCAUUAUAUAAUAAUGAUAUUCGCGGUACUUUCUCAAAUGGAUAUGAAAAAGAUUUAUUUGCAAAAGUGAUAUUGUAUGGAGAAGACCAUGCUAGUAAUCACUUUUUUGUAAGUGGAAGAUUUAUGGAAAUUUCAAGGUCAGCAUUAGCUUUUUGAAUUAUACGUGAAUAACAUAAAGUUAAAUAUAUCAUUUUGUUUUAUACGAUCGAUGCGUUUGUUAUGCAUGUACUUACUAUCUUUGAUUAUCGAAAUUAGUGUUCGAUUUUCAUGCAAGCGACCAGCAUGAUAUAAGGAAUAACGAGCUGAUUUUCACUUUUAUGAAGUAUACUUAUAUUUUUCAAAUAUAUAGUAGAGAAUAUAUAAAUUUACCUGGAUUAGUUCCUAUUAUACUUUCCUCCAGAAUCCACCUUGGUUUUUCAUAACUUAGUGUAGCUAACAGUCCUUUCAUGCAAAUAGCAAAGAGCAAGGCCAACACGCUGAAGAAGCAAGCAUAGAAUGCUCCAGUGAUGGCUGGAAUAAAAACGAUUGUUUUAUAUUAUUGUACUCAAUAAAUUAAGGAAGAAGUUUCAGCUAUUUCUAUUCCACUUUAUUACUAAAUACUUUGUACGUGAAAAUAAUUUACCAUUAUGUCCUAGGUUACUUGGUGCAAUAGACGCAACUUGUAUGAAUGAAAUAUGCAAAUUAUUUCAAAUAAUUUUAGCUUUUCAUUUUGCGUAAUACAGCCUUAAUAGUUAUAAAAGCACGUGGCCUCGAAAAUUUUCAUGAUUUCAACGAUUGAAAGGAAAAUAUUUAAAGCGUGGGCACUGUGCCAAAGUCUGAUCUAAAUAUAGUUCCUUUUUUAAGAGUAGUAUACGCCACUGUGAUGGUUACUUCUGCUUCUUGUUCUUGAUCGCGAACAAUUUCUAAACGUAUAUUCAUUUUCUAUAUAUAUAUAUAUAUAUAUAAUUAAAGUUGAUAGUACUCGAAUAUUAAUUAAACGGCAGAAAUUAAAUUGAUUACAUUUUAUCGCUAUAGAUAAAACUGACUAUAUUUAAUUAAUAUACUAUUGUUUCACUAGCAUUCUAUUGCUAAAAUGAAAUAUCAGAAAUUAAAGUAAAGUAGAACAAUACUGCGUCUGAAAAUAGUGUGGCAAGUGUAGAUAUAAUAAUUAUAGGCUCAGAAAUCCAUAUUUAUCACAGUGGCUCAACCUGUUCUACAGGAUACGGAAUAAUCAUUGUGUGUGUACACUGCAUACAUAUAAUGAAACAUUUACAGAUUCAAAACACGUUUCUUGUUUCGGUUGAAUGACACGAAAUGGGCAAAAACCUGAUUGCAACGUUUUACUAAUUGUUAAAAAUAUUGGCAUAUCCAGGCAAUUUGUAUUUUACGUAAAUUUUAUACUUUAUUGAUAGACGUAAUAUGUAGGCAAGAAAAUACAUCGAUGUUAAAAUUGAUGUUAGCCUUACGUACAAUGACACACGAGAAAAACAGCCUUUCAAAUGUACUGUUUUGCAAUUCUUAUUUUCUGUUUUGAAUGGGAGAAUGAAGAAUAUUUUUUCGUCAACAUGUUCGCUAGUGGGUCUGUGCGUACGGUAACUAAGUAAAUUCGCAGUAAUUGCAGUAGUUAAAACUUCCUAUCUUUUUUUCCAUUUCCAGGGCUCAAUUUAUUAUUUGUCGACUGAGUCGCAAAAUUUAACGACACUGGGAACACGUGUGGCUAUUUACGCAUACGUGCUAACAACAUGAAAUACGAGUGUUUAAAAUUCAAAUUACUUCGGCCUUUAUUUUUCCUGUUCAUUUAUACAUCUGAUACAUUAAUAGGACAGGAAGAUUGUGGUUCAAACAUCAUUGCUUCAAGAUAGUUGAAAUAGUAAGAAUUAGGAUCGAAUAUUCUUUAUUUGACGUGAAAAUAAUACAAAAUAUAUCAAAUAAUUAUUUCGAAUAAAGUAAGAAAUAUAUUUGAAGAUGAUAUUCUUUGCAAAUAAAUUCCAAAAUCUUAUCCGAGAAAUAAAUUAUUUUACAAUAUGAUUUUUUGUAACAGGUAUUAUAAGUAUCGCAUUAUAUGCUCUUACCGCAUUAGAAGAGAUUAGAAGCAUUAAUAUCAAUAAAUCGUGACAGAAGUUACUUCCGCUCUAAUAAAUCUUAUUCUUUCUUCUU